GGGACCGUAGCACAAUUGGUUAGUGUACCGGACUGUCGAUCCGGGGGUUGCGGGUUCGAAUCCCGUCGGUCUCG
This 74-nucleotide transfer RNA is filed under the name Planctomycetota bacterium. RNAcentral describes it as "Planctomycetes bacterium tRNA-Asp". It matches the Rfam family "tRNA". Rfam says of the family: Transfer RNA (tRNA) molecules are approximately 80 nucleotides in length. Their secondary structure includes four short double-helical elements and three loops (D, anti-codon, and T loops). Lineage: Bacteria; Pseudomonadati; Planctomycetota. The record is from RNAcentral.